UUUUAUAUGCGUGAGUCGCGACUGAAUCGGUAAAAUCGUCAACAAAAUUAUGACAUUAGAUAUAUUAGAUAUAUGUCAUAUCUAGAAAUAUAAAAAUAUAGAAUAUGUUUUAUAUAAAUUAAAGUAAAAAAUACAGAUUUUUUAUAUUAAAUUAAUUAAUUUUUAUAUUAUUUUAAUUUUUAUAUUAAAUUAAAUUAAUUUUUAUAUUAAAAUAAAGAUUUUGUAGAUUUAUACUAAUAAUAAGAAUAAAAUUUUAUUCUCUCCAAUCAAUUAUAAAUAUUCAACAUUUCAUAAACAAUUAUAAAUGAAUUGGUAAUAUCAAUACAUUUCAUGAAUGCGUAUCGUUCACACAUAUCAAUAUUGCCAACUUUUAAUAAAGCUAAAAGGUUGGCAACCUAACGAAACUAACCUGUUAUUUGUUGUUUAUUUUCUGCAUGUAUGUCUCACAACUAAAUCGGUAAAAUCAUCAAUAAAAUUAUAAAAUUAUCGAUGGAAAUAUGUUUUGUAAAUUAAUAAAAAUUUUAUAAAUAUAUGAAAUACAUAGAUUUAUAUGAAGCAAUUUACAUAAGACAUAACUUUUUAUGUCUAUUUGAAUGCAGGAUCCGGUGCAAAAAACAAUUAGUUUGCAUAAAUCAGUGAUAGUGACAACAUCUACAAUUCACAAUUUAUUCGCAUUAUAAAAAAAAAUUAUUCUUACAAAAAUACAAGAGAACAAUAAAUAAUGAGAAAUAUUGAUAAGAUUAAGUAGAAUUUAAUAUACUACUUUUUUUAUUUUAAUUUGAUUAUUUUUUUAUUUUGAUAAUUACUUUAUUUUAGUUUAUUUCAUUUUAUUUUUUAUUUUAAAAUAAAACUAUAUUAAUAUUUAUAACUACUGAAUAAAUAAUAAAAAUGAAUGAGAAAGAAACA
Apis cerana (Asiatic honeybee) is the source of this 906-nucleotide long non-coding RNA. RefSeq lists it as uncharacterized. The record is from RefSeq and is a predicted model, not a curated record. Lineage: Eukaryota; Metazoa; Arthropoda; Insecta; Hymenoptera; Apidae.